CAUUCCUUCUGUAAGCCUAGCUUUUUUCACAUACACCCCUGUAACCAAGUCUUAUGGAAUGUGCUCUGCGUUCAACCCACUACAGUACAACUUUCAACAACGGAUCUCUUGGCUCUCACAUCAAUGAAUAACGCAACGAACUGCCAUAAGUAAUGUGAAUUGCACAAUUCAGUGAAUCAUCGAAUCUUUGAACGCACCUUGCGCCCCUUGGCUAUUCCAAAGGGCAUGCCUGUUUGAGUACCGUGAACACCUCAACUCUCAUGGCUUGCCAUGAUGAACUUGGACUUUGGGGGUUUUUCCCGCCUUGGGGUAGGACCCUCCCAAAUAGAUCAAAUUGCCCGUGAUUGGUCGACAUUGCAGGUGUGAUAACUAUCCACCCAUGCGGCUGUUUGCCACGAAACCUUCCGCAAUGGGGGUUCCCCGGAACUUACAAAUGUACUUUCCCAACGAGGACAGCUUUGUACGUUCGAUCUCCAAUCACGUAGGACUACCCGCUGAACUUAACC
This 506-nucleotide ribosomal RNA is filed under the name Tomentella sp. Ecu213. RNAcentral describes it as "eukaryotic LSU rRNA". The stretch from base 89 to 243 matches the Rfam family "5.8S ribosomal RNA". Lineage: Eukaryota; Fungi; Basidiomycota; Agaricomycetes; Thelephorales; Thelephoraceae. The record is from RNAcentral.